GACGAACGCUGGCGGCAUGCCUAAUACAUGCAAGUCGAGCGGACUUGAUGAGAAGCUUGCUUCUCAGAUAGUUAGCGGCGGACGGGUGAGUAACACGUAGGCAACCUGCCCUCAAGCUUGGGACAACUACCGGAAACGGUAGCUAAUACCGAAUACUUGUUUUCUUCGCCUGAAGGAAACUGGAAAGACGGAGUAAUCUGUCACUUGGGGAUGGGCCCGCGGCGCAUUAGCUAGUUGGUGGGGUAACGGAUCACCAAGGCGACGAUGCGUCGCCGACCUGAGAGGGUGAUCGGCCACACUGGGACUGAGACACGGCCCAGACUCCUACGGGAGGCAGCAGUAGGGAACCUUCCGCAAUGGGCGAAAGCCUGACGGAGCAAUGCCGCGUGAGUGAUGAAGGUUUUCGGAUCGUAAAGCUCUGUUGCCAGGGAAGAACGCUUGGGAGAGUAACUGCUCCCAAGGUGACGGUACCUGAGAAGAAAGCCCCGGCUAACUACGUGCCAGCAGCCGCCGUAA
This 516-nucleotide ribosomal RNA is filed under the name uncultured bacterium. RNAcentral describes it as "partial 16S ribosomal RNA". It matches the Rfam family "Bacterial small subunit ribosomal RNA", at positions 28 to 523 of the family's 1533-position model. The record is from RNAcentral.